Molecule: ribosomal RNA, 448 nt
Filed under: uncultured bacterium
Lineage: Bacteria
Description: bacterial SSU rRNA
Rfam family: Bacterial small subunit ribosomal RNA
Source: RNAcentral
UGAGGAAUAUUGCACAAUGGGGGCAACCCUGAUGCAGCGACGCCGCGUGGGUGAUGAAGGUUUUCGGAUCGUAAAGCCCUUUUCUGCAUGACGAGCACAGGACGGUAGUGCAGGAAUAAGUGUCGGCUAACUACGUGCCAGCAGCCGCGGUAAAACGUAGGACACAAGCGUUAUCCGGAAUUACUGGGCGUAAAGGCGUGCAGGCGGUUGCGUAAGUUAGGCGUGAAAGACUUCGGCUAAACCGGGGGAGGUCGUCUGAUACUGCGCAACUAGAGUAUGGUAGAGGCGUGUAGAAUUCCGGGUGUAGUGGUGAAAUGCGUAGAGAUCCGGAGGAAUACCAGUGGCGAAGGCGGUACGCUGGGCCAUAACUGACGCUAAGACGCGAAAGCAUGGGUAGCGAACGGGAUUAGAUACCCUGGUAGUCCCUGAGCGGGCUGGCAAGGCGCAU